This is a long non-coding RNA of Gorilla gorilla gorilla (western lowland gorilla), 382 nucleotides long. RefSeq lists it as uncharacterized. Lineage: Eukaryota; Metazoa; Chordata; Mammalia; Primates; Hominidae. The transcript is spliced from 4 exons. The record is from RefSeq and is a predicted model, not a curated record.
GAAGAUUCCAACAACAUAUCCAUGGUGCUGAAAGUCUCAGUUUGUUGCCUGGUGGGAGUGCAGUGAUGUGAUCUCGGCUGACUGCAACCUCUGCCUCCAAGGUUCAAGUGAUUCUCCUGCCUCACCGUCCAAGGGUUUACCGUGUUUCCCAGGCUGGACUGGAACUCCAGAGCUCAAGUGAUCCUCCCGACUUGGCCUCCUUAAGUACUGCAGUUAGAGAUUCCAUUUUGGAUGCUCCCAUUGGGACUGUGUGUCCCUGUGCUGGAACGCAAGUGAACACUUGGCUCAAAAUCCAUUGCUGUUCUCUAGAAAUCCAGCCCAAUUCUCUUGGUUAAACAUAAGGUAUGUGCAGUAGGCAUUGCUCUUUCUCUUUAGAGACAAA